Long non-coding RNA from Harmonia axyridis, 416 nucleotides. RefSeq lists it as uncharacterized. The record is from RefSeq and is a predicted model, not a curated record. Lineage: Eukaryota; Metazoa; Arthropoda; Insecta; Coleoptera; Coccinellidae. The transcript is spliced from 3 exons.
GUCAAAGCUGUCAGAAGGACUGAGGGAGCGAUCUCUACGUUUCAAACUAGUUUCUAAUCUUCUGAGGAAUCUGAAAUUAUGAUCUGGUUCUUGAGCUUUUGGCAGCGUUUCUUCAGUUGUUUCCUAGAACGUAAAGAUAUUUAAAGUGCAACCUACCAGCCACACGCAAGAGUGAAGAGGACAGAUUGAUAAUUGGGCUACAAAAGAAAGUAAUGAAUGUGUGUAUUAGAAAACUGAAGAGCCGGAAACCUGAUCAAGGUUAACGAACAUUAGAUAUAUGAAUGAUUAAAAAAAACAUCGACGUUAAGUCAGGAAUAUUUGACCGCCCGUUCGUUAAUAGAGACAACAUAACUGCAUACAGGUAUUUCUGUUGUUUCCAAGGGUGGAAUAAGCGGAUUGAUGAACGAGUGCUCAUU